Long non-coding RNA from Felis catus (domestic cat), 1004 nucleotides. RefSeq lists it as uncharacterized. The record is from RefSeq and is a predicted model, not a curated record. The transcript is spliced from 3 exons. NCBI's taxonomy places the organism in Eukaryota, Metazoa, Chordata, Mammalia, Carnivora, Felidae.
UCGCCUUUCUGACUACUGGGGAAUAGCUGCAUCUUUUCUUUCUGGAGCUACUAACUUUUCUACUUCUUUUAAGAAUUGCCGCUUCGUGCCUUCAGCUCCCAAGAUUAAGAACUCCUCCAUCCAUCGCCCCUCCUCCAGCCUCCAUUUCAUAUACAGUCUGAUCCUCGGCUGCUGUGUACAAGAGAAGGGGAGGGGCAGAGAAAAGUAGAGAAGAAUGUCAAGCAGGCUCCUGCUGCCAGCGCCAUGCCAGAUGCAGGAUUCCAACUCAGGAACUGUGAGAUCAUGAACUGAGCCAAUGCCGAGAGUCAGAUGCUUAACCGACCGACCAAGCUGCCCAGGGAGUAUGGCCUGAGUUGCAAAAGAUGAGUCCGCAAACAAAGUGCAGUUAAGUGAAGGUUCUCAUACUCGAGUUGGAAUGAGUCCUGGACUCCAGAAUGAAGCUUCUUUUUAUUAGGAUAAUUGCUAAAGACUACGUGCAUAAAGUCAGCUAAGCAAGUGUGUUAAUCAAUCUAAUGGUUUAGCUUUUCAAGGUUGAAUUUCUAGUUAAUUGGUUUCUAUAACACUAGGAAAGGUCAGGUGUGAAGGAGGAUCCAGCCCUGGACAAUGUUAAUGGCUCUAGGCGUUCCUUAUGAGCCUCAGCCCAGCUGUUCAGUUGUGUAAACAUGUCCUAAGACCUUGAACCUUCUCCAGCCCUUCCCUUUUGAAGUCUUUCCCUUUGAUGCUUCUAUCCUGCAUCUCCCACAUUUAUAUACUUACAUUUUAUAUUUAAUAGUCAUGUAUUAAUAAUAUUUAGAAAAAUGAGACAAACCUUUGAAAACAUGGAGAAGAAAUAAAAUAUCCUACAAAUAUAAGUCAACCAUAUAUUUAUUGGAACGGAAAUGUUACAAAAUGUAACUUGCACAGGAUCUAAUUAAAAAAACUAAUGUGUGUGUUGGGGUGCCUGGGUCGCUUAGUCAGUUAAGCGUCUGACUUUAGUUCAGGUCAUGUACUCACAGUCCGUGAGU